Long non-coding RNA from Panicum virgatum (switchgrass), 380 nucleotides. RefSeq lists it as uncharacterized. The record is from RefSeq and is a predicted model, not a curated record. The transcript has 2 exons. Lineage: Eukaryota; Viridiplantae; Streptophyta; Magnoliopsida; Poales; Poaceae.
UUGGCAAGUGCUCCGGGUGGUGGAGCUGCUGGUCGUGGGUUCGAGUACUGCUCAACUCACUAUUCCCAUAGGGGUUUUCCCCCAUUUUCUUCUCCUACAGGUACUGUAGCUGUUGCCUCACGUGUGGAUGCACCACAAUGGUCAGGGUGACGUGCCCGUCACGUUCGAAGCCUGGUGUCGACUUUGGAUACCUCUCGGCCACGUGAAGUUUCCUAGGUAUAGGUUGUAGGUCUAGCUUACACACAGCGUGUGUGCAUGGGGCGUGAGUGUGGUGGUGUGAGUUUGUGUGUGAGUUCAGAUACUACAGCUUGUACUUGAAGGGUUGAGGCAUAAAAAAAAAAGAAAUAAAAACCAACCGUGCGCCGCCUUGCUUGCUUUCA